UUUUCGUACCACGGCGAGGCCGGAUUCCUGUUUUAUCAUGAAUAUUCAUUAGGCAGGGUCGGGGAAAGUCUCGAUUCUCUUAAAUAUUCAUAUCGAGGUGGGAAUGCACGACGCGCGCUAUACUCGCACAAAGUGAGAAGAUUUAGUUCACGGAGAAUGCAUAUGGAUUGAAACUGAAGAGCUGGAAGGAGGACAUUACAACAUCUCUUAUAUUUGCAAGAUGAAGCAGAAAGUCCCAUGCAGGAUGAUGCCUCUCUACAGUGGAUGAUGAAGGCAUUCUGGUUUGCAAACUCAGGAGAGGAACAAAGAACAGAUGUUGACGGGAUCCUAUCUAGAGAUGCGGGCCUACUACACUUCAUACGAGCAAGUGUGCUAAUAUACAUGAAGACUUGGGUUAUAUUUUUUUCUGAAAACUAGGCUACAACUUUAGUGAUGGAUGCAGAAGGUAUCUACACGAGACUACGUCUUAAAGAUGCCACCCUCAUAUAAUGAAAGAGGACAAUAGAGAUGGGUUUAAACU
This 520-nucleotide long non-coding RNA is filed under the name Strongylocentrotus purpuratus (purple sea urchin). RNAcentral describes it as "uncharacterized LOC115922974". Lineage: Eukaryota; Metazoa; Echinodermata; Echinoidea; Camarodonta; Strongylocentrotidae. The record is from RNAcentral.